Molecule: ribosomal RNA, 378 nt
Filed under: Triticum aestivum (bread wheat)
Lineage: Eukaryota; Viridiplantae; Streptophyta; Magnoliopsida; Poales; Poaceae
Description: partial small subunit ribosomal RNA
Source: RNAcentral
AUGGAUAAAGACAUGUUAAUCCAGCUAUGGAUGGCAAAUGACUUUAUUGCAUCAGAAAUAAGAGGCCAACACAUUUUCGAUGUGCUGGUUUGGAGAUGUUUCCUCCAAGUAGAUGUGGAGAUUCAAGAGAAUCUGCUCUUCAAACUUCAAGAUGAGUCUUCGUUAAAAAAAUUAUAUAAAGAUGAGUUCAUCCACAAACCAACUACCUGCAAGAUGGAUGAUCUCAUGCAUGAUCUUGCUAACUUCGUAAGUGGAAAUGAUUGCUCCAUUCUGCAAGAAUCUUCAUCAUGUCAAGUAAUUCUGCAAGAACCCACAGAUGCCAGCUCAUUACAGCAUGAGCUUGCAAACAUUGAAGCUCAUUGGUUGUCAAAAUCUUAA